Molecule: small RNA, 118 nt
Filed under: Enterobacillus tribolii
Lineage: Bacteria; Pseudomonadati; Pseudomonadota; Gammaproteobacteria; Enterobacterales; Hafniaceae
Description: SraH RNA
Source: RNAcentral
AAGCACUCAUUAGCGAUGUUUACGCAAAACGUCACGAAGAUUCUUAAAAGAACCUAUCAUGCGUAGACAACACAGUUUCCCUGGUGUUGGCGCAGUAGUUGCGCACCCCGGCUAGUCC